AUUGAAAGCUGGCGGCAGGCUUAACACAUGCAAGUCGAGCGGGGUGAUGGUGCUUGCACUAUCACUUAGCGGCGGACGGGGGAGUAAUGCUUAGGAAUCUGCCUAUUAGUGGGGGACAACAUCUCGAAAGGGAUGCUAAUACCGCACACGUCCUACGGGAGAAAGCAGGGGAUCACUUGUGACCUUGCGCUACUAACUGAGCGUAAGUCGGAUUAGCUAGUUGGUGGGGUAAAGGCCUACCAAGGCGACGAUCUGUAGCGGGUCUGAGAGGAUGAUCCGCCACACUGGGACUGAGACACGGCCCAGACUCCUACGGGAGGCAGCAGUGGGGAAUAUUGGACAAUGGGGGGAACCCUGAUCCAGCCAUGCCGCGUGUGUGAAGAAGGCCUUAUGGUUGUAAAGCACUUUAAGCGAGGAGGAGGCUCUUUUGGUUAAUACCCAAGAUGAGUGGACGUUACUCGCAGAAUAAGCACCGGCUAACUCUGUGCCAGCCGCCGCCGUAA
This 503-nucleotide ribosomal RNA is filed under the name uncultured bacterium. RNAcentral's name for it is "partial 16S ribosomal RNA". It matches the Rfam family "Bacterial small subunit ribosomal RNA", at positions 30 to 523 of the family's 1533-position model. The record is from RNAcentral.